RNAcentral lists this long non-coding RNA (386 nucleotides) under Heterocephalus glaber (naked mole-rat). RNAcentral's name for it is "lncRNA (ENSHGLG00100037563.1)". The record is from RNAcentral. Lineage: Eukaryota; Metazoa; Chordata; Mammalia; Rodentia; Bathyergidae.
GUGAACCAGGCCAGGAGCGAGCUGGGUUGGUGGAAAUGCCGUCUUCAAAGGAGGCUGGAAGGUCAUCAUUCUUCUUCUCUACCUUACAAGGAAGAACAUUCUUAGAGGACACAACAGAUUGGAGAAUCAUUUAGCAAAUGUUUACUUGCUUCCAUCUAUCUUGGGGCAGAGCAUACCUUGACCAUUAUCUUACUUUGCCAAUGGAAGGCCCCAGGACUAGUCAUGUGGAACAGAUCCAAGCCCAAAGUGAAGCCAGAGCUGCCUCCUAGCCCACCCACAGACCUGUAAUCAAGAAAAAAAAUGCUUAUUUUCUCUCUCUCUUUUUUUUUUUGGUACUGGGGAUCGAAGGUCCUUGCGCUUUCAAGGCAGGCGACAGAACCACUGAG